Molecule: long non-coding RNA, 950 nt
Filed under: Homo sapiens (human)
Lineage: Eukaryota; Metazoa; Chordata; Mammalia; Primates; Hominidae
Description: non-protein coding lnc-ZNF732-6:1
Source: RNAcentral
UGCAUUAAGUGAUCAGAAAAGUCACUGGCUGGCUCUGUUCAUGAGCAGAAUGCUUUCAGAAAAGUUUAUGCUCACACAGUGCUUGGACAGCAUUUGCGUAGUUUGGCACUUACUUGUCUGCUUGGGCAGAUGCUCAUAUGCUUACACAGAAUGGAUAUUGUGAUGGUGGAAAGUCAGUUGAUGCUACAAAUACAAAUUACAGAAUCAUGAGUUACUUUUAACAAGCAGAGGUGAAGGAUCUCCUUCUGCAAGUUGGCUGGUGCUUGAGGUAUAUUCAUUCAAUGUCUUUGAUUCACAUGGACAUGAAACCGGUAAUAUUUCCAUGUCUCAAACCUCAAUCCCCAAUGCAGCCUCUGAAGAAGGGGAUGAACAUCCAACAAAGUUAUACUUAAAAUAGGUAAUCCUGGGCAUGUAACAAGGAUCUCUAGUCCACAGAUUUAACAGGAUGAUAGUCCUUUUUUUGGAAAUGAAGUUUUACAGAAGAACUAUAUCAUCUACUAAAAGCAGGUAUUUUGUACUUGCCCUCACAGUGGUAUGUGCUGCUGGUGCUGAAUCUCUUCCCAGGAAUGGAGACCAGUGGCAUGGAAUCAGGUAGAAAAGAUUACCUCAGAUACCACAUAGGCUUUUCCAAGAAUUUACAGAGUUGCCCAAAUUUAUGAUUCAUCCAGAUCCAGAGAGAAACCUUCAGCAAUUGCCCUGAUAAAGCAUUCAAUGUUGCUGCUUGCUUCUAGAGAGAGGAGAACAGUUAUGUAUAGAACUGAAUGUUGAGAAGUCCGAAAAUACACUUUUACCUAAAUAAAUCAUGAAAGCACAGAUAUCGAAGGCUGCAGCUGAGGAAGGAGCACUUUUCACUGAUCAGAGGCCAGUAGGUCCACCACCCAGAGGAACACAACAUCUUGACUUAUUAGAAAGAAAAUUAAGUGCUCUAUCAGCCUUCCAGUAUACUAAGC